Long non-coding RNA from Panicum virgatum (switchgrass), 955 nucleotides. RefSeq lists it as uncharacterized. The record is from RefSeq and is a predicted model, not a curated record. The transcript is spliced from 4 exons. NCBI's taxonomy places the organism in Eukaryota, Viridiplantae, Streptophyta, Magnoliopsida, Poales, Poaceae.
CCUGCUAAUGGGUCGGAUAAUAUUUGGAUUUUUUGGGUUGGAUUGUUUUGUGGAAUUGUUUGGAUGAGAGUUAAUGGGUUUAUAGGAUAAAUGGGUUGGAAUGGAAUGGGUUUGCUAGCAAAUCGGAUUGGGUUGGGUUGGAACGGGUUAUUUUUUCGGGUUCUCACCCACUCCCUCCGCCCCCCAAAUCCGGCUGCGGGUUCUCACCCAACCCAUCCGCGCCGUUCUCACCCAACCCCAGUCUGCCGUCGCUCCUCCGCCCCCAGAUCCGGCUCCUCCGCCCCCAGAUCCGGCUCCUCCGCAGCCCCUCCGCCGCAUCCGUCGCGACACCCACACCACCGGCGCCGAGAUCCCCUACUAGCGCCCUGACUCCUAGAGACGAAGUGCAUCGAGCUCCGCCUACUACUUCCGCUGGACAAGAAAUCUCGUGCAAGGCUUCUUGUUCUUUCCAAGACCGUUGUCCACCGCCGAAACUGCGCUGUGUCCAGCUUUCCCCUUCACCGGCAGCGAGCAAACACCAGGGCAAGGGUGUGUACCAGUUCGUGGACAAGUACGGCGCCAACGUCGACGGAUACAGACUACUUCAAUGCGUCUUUGACUGAUCUCUUGAGCUCACUAUCUGGUUAGCUACCUUGGCAUAUACGAUGGUUACCUAUCAGCAGUAGUUGAUUUGAUGGAAACGAUGUCAACUUCUCAUCCGGCUGAGGCCUCAGACACCAAUACAAGCAGCAAUGAUGACCAUUCAUCAGGAACACCAAAUAGGAGGUCUAAAGUGUGGGAACACUUUGAGCCAGAGUUGGUCGAGGUGGAUGGUGCUCUGAAGGCUGUUUGCAGAUACUGCGGCAUGAAGAUGGCUAGCGGAAAAUCAGGUACAAAUAGUUUGAGAAAUCACAUAAAAGAUUCUUGUCGAAAAAUUAGUGCAGAUGAUAGACAGAGAUUUAUUGCCACAAUUCAG